UGAACGCUGGCGGCAGGCCUAACACAUGCAAGUCGAGCGGUAACAGGGAGUAGCUUGCUACUCCGCUGACGAGCGGCGGACGGGUGAGUAAUGUCUGGGGAUCUGCCUGAUGGAGGGGGAUAACUACUGGAAACGGUAGCUAAUACCGCAUAACGUCGCAAGACCAAAGAGGGGGACCUUCGGGCCUCUUGCCAUCGGAUGAACCCAGAUGGGAUUAGCUAGUAGGUGGGGUAAUGGCUCACCUAGGCGACGAUCCCUAGCUGGUCUGAGAGGAUGACCAGCCACACUGGAACUGAGACACGGUCCAGACUCCUACGGGAGGCAGCAGUGGGGAAUAUUGCACAAUGGGCGCAAGCCUGAUGCAGCCAUGCCGCGUGUGUGAAGAAGGCCUUCGGGUUGUAAAGCACUUUCAGCGAGGAGGAAGGCAUUAAGGUUAAUAACCUUGGUGAUUGACGUUACUCGCAGAAGAAGCACCGGCUAACUCCGUGCCAGCAGCCGCGGUAAUACGGAGGGUGCAAGCGUUAAUCGGAAUUACUGGGCGUAAAGCGCACGCAGGCGGUUUGUUAAGUCGGAUGUGAAAUCCCCGGGCUCAACCUGGGAACUGCAUUCGAAACUGGCAAGCUUGAGUCUUGUAGAGGGGGGUAGAAUUCCAGGUGUAGCGGUGAAAUGCGUAGAGAUCUGGAGGAAUACCGGUGGCGAAGGCGGCCCCCUGGACAAAGACUGACGCUCAGGUGCGAA
RNAcentral lists this ribosomal RNA (738 nucleotides) under Cedecea sp. RNAcentral describes it as "bacterial SSU rRNA". It matches the Rfam family "Bacterial small subunit ribosomal RNA", at positions 30 to 757 of the family's 1533-position model. Lineage: Bacteria; Pseudomonadati; Pseudomonadota; Gammaproteobacteria; Enterobacterales; Enterobacteriaceae. The record is from RNAcentral.